GCAGGGAGACAGCUGUCCCUUCUGCCCCUGUGAAGUCACUCACAGGGAAUGAAAGGUUCUGCAGCUGUGGAAGGAGGAUCGCUGCAUCAGGAGAGGCUGCACGUUCAGACACAUGGAAAUUGUAUGAAGAUGAUGCAAUUGGCCUUCCACUGAAGAACGGAAUUGCUGAAAUGCAGUGGAAGAAAACAGUCUGAAAAAUGAGCCAAGUGAGAGGUAGAGAUAGACAACAGGAUUGGAUGCAGAGCUUUUCAGUUCAGAUUUUCUGUAUGUUCUCUUUGCACGUUGAUUAAGGUCGUAAACACUGGGAUUUACAGUUAAA
Molecule: long non-coding RNA, 319 nt
Organism: Lagopus leucura (white-tailed ptarmigan)
Lineage: Eukaryota; Metazoa; Chordata; Aves; Galliformes; Phasianidae
Exons: 2
Source: RefSeq, a predicted model, not a curated record